AGAGUUUGAUCAUGGCUCAGAUUGAACGCUGGCGGAAUGCUUUACACAUGCAAGUCGAACGGGCUUAAGGGGCUUGCUCCUUAAGUUAGUGGCGAACGGGUGAGUAAUAUAUCGGAACGUAUCCAAUAGUGGGGGAUAACGAGUCGAAAGAUUCGCUAAUACCGCAUACGCCCUGAGGGGGAAAGUGGGGGACCGCAAGGCCUCACGCUAAUGGAGCGGCCGAUAUCUGAUUAGCUAGUUGGUGAGGUAAAGGCUCACCAAGGCGACGAUCAGUAGCUGGUCUGAGAGGACGACCAGCCACACUGGAACUGAGACACGGUCCAGACUCCUACGGGAGGCAGCAGUGGGGAAUUUUGGACAAUGGGCGAAAGCCUGAUCCAGCCAUUCCGCGUGAGUGAAGAAGGCCUUCGGGUUGUAAAGCUCUUUCGCAAGGGAAGAAAGAUUACUUUUUAAUAAAGAGUGAUUAUGACGGUACCUUGAUAAGAAGCACCGGCUAACUACGUGCCAGCAGCCGCGGUAAUACGUAGGGUGCGAGCGUUAAUCGGAAUUACUGGGCGUAAAGCGAGCGCAGGCGGUUCUGCAUGUCAGAUGUGAAAUCCCCGGGCUCAACCUGGGAACUGCGUUUGAAACUACAGAGCUAGAGUAUAGGAGAGGGAGGUAGAAUUCCACGUGUAGCAGUGAAAUGCGUAGAGAUGUGGAG
This 700-nucleotide ribosomal RNA is filed under the name uncultured bacterium. Its description in RNAcentral is "bacterial SSU rRNA". It matches the Rfam family "Bacterial small subunit ribosomal RNA", at positions 8 to 703 of the family's 1533-position model. The record is from RNAcentral.